RNAcentral lists this ribosomal RNA (496 nucleotides) under uncultured bacterium. Its description in RNAcentral is "partial 16S ribosomal RNA". It matches the Rfam family "Bacterial small subunit ribosomal RNA", at positions 29 to 507 of the family's 1533-position model. The record is from RNAcentral.
AUGCACGCUGGCGGCGUGCCUAAUACCUGCCAGUCGCGCGAACAGACGAGGAGCUUGCUCCUCUGACGUUAGCGGCGGACGGGUGAGUAACACGUGGAUAACCUACCUAUAAGACUGGGAUAACUUUGGGAAACCGGAGCUAAUACCGGAUAAUAUAUUGAACCGCAUGGUUCAAUAGUGAAAGACGGUUUUGCUGUCACUUAUAGAUGGAUCCGCGCCGCAUUAGCUAGUUGGUAAGGUAACGGCUUACCAAGGCGACGAUGCGUAGCCGACCUGAGAGGGUGAUCGGCCACACUGGAACUGAGACACGGUCCAGACUCCUACGGGAGGCAGCAGUAGGGAAUCUUCCGCAAUGGGCGAAAGCCUGACGGAGCAACGCCGCGUGAGUGAUGAAGGUCUUCGGAUCGUAAAACUCUGUUAUUAGGGAAGAACAAAUGUGUAAGUAACUAUGCACGUCUUGACGGUACCUAAUCAGAAAGCCACGGCUAACUACGUG